RNAcentral lists this ribosomal RNA (460 nucleotides) under uncultured bacterium. RNAcentral describes it as "partial 16S ribosomal RNA". It matches the Rfam family "Bacterial small subunit ribosomal RNA", at positions 338 to 795 of the family's 1533-position model. The record is from RNAcentral.
CCUACGGGGUGCAGCAGUGAGGAAUAUUGGUCAAUGGGCGGAAGCCUGAACCAGCCAAGUAGCGUGCAGGAUGACGGCCCUACGGGUUGUAAACUGCUUUUAUACGGGAAUAACGCGCCUUACGUGUAGGGCUUUGCAUGUACCGUAUGAAUAAGGACCGGCUAAUUCCGUGCCAGCAGCCGCGGUAAUACGGAAGGUCCGGGCGUUAUCCGGAUUUAUAGGGUUUAAAGGGAGCGUAGGCCGCAUGUCAAGCGUGCGGUGAAAUGUCCGGGCUCAACCCGGGCCUUGCAGGGCGUACUGGCGUGCUUGAGUCCGCGGAAAGCAGGCGGAAUUCGUCGUGUAGCGGUGAAAUGCUUAGAUAUGACGAAGAACCCCGAUUGCGAAGGCAGCUUGCUGCAGCGGAACUGACGCUGAUGCUCGAAAGCGCGGGUAUCGAACAGGAUUAGAUACCCCAGUAGUC